CAGGGAGACAACACAAUGAUUUCGAUGCCUGAGUACUUUUAUUCUUAGGCCGAAAUCCUGUCACCUUAGGUCGAUCGGUACCUCAGCAUUAAGAGCAGUAAUUGAUGAGUAAUCAUCAAGAGACUGAAGGAGAUGUUCAGUUCCUAAACUUUGUCUAGGUCACACCCCACAAGGGUUGAGUCUUCCUGGGCCAUUAGCUCAGGUGGUUAGAGCGCACCUCUGAUAAGGGUGAGGUCCCUGGUUCAAGUCCAGGAUGGCCCAUUCGGUGUUGGGGGUUUAGCUCAGUUGGUAGAGCGCCUGCUUUGCAAGCAGGAUGUCAGGAGUUCGAGUCUCCUAACCUCCACUGACCGAACUUAAUCUCCAUCUUCUGAACAGUGGAAGGUGAACUCGUAGGUGUGUGAUUUAGAUGUGUCCGCUGGCAUGAACUCAGCUUCCUGUCAUUCCAAAUGAUGAGUGUUUGCUCUGAAUUUGGUUGAUAAGAUGCUGGGCUCGGAUCAAAUGAUCAAGCAAUUGAUGAUUUGAUUUGAAGUUCUAGCAGAACCUUGACAACUGCAUAGGUGAGUCUGGAAAAACCAAAGCAUCUUACAGAUGCAUUGUUUUGAGUCUGAUCUUCUGAAAGGGAGAUUAGAUCUAGAACAAUGAAAAUUCUUUUGAGCAAGAGCCGAGACUCUUGAGCGUUCUUUGAUUGGUGUCGAGCCAAUCAGAGUUUGAUCUUGUUUUUAGCAAUAAAAACUUGAGAAUCUGCUUUCAACGGCGGUAAGCGUUCAGAGGUUAAUU
This 777-nucleotide transfer RNA is filed under the name uncultured cyanobacterium. RNAcentral describes it as "partial 16S-23S ribosomal RNA intergenic spacer". The stretch from base 271 to 343 matches the Rfam family "tRNA". Lineage: Bacteria; Bacillati; Cyanobacteriota. The record is from RNAcentral.